UCAGAUUUCAGAGUUGGAUUGGUGUUGCUGCUGACCAGUUUCCACGGCCUGGCCAGAUGGCAGAUGCAAACAAGGUGUUAUUCCGGGCUACAGCGCUGAUCCGUACUUGGUCCUUACUCACUCCGACGGAGGCCAGGGAGCGUUUGGUUACUGGAUCUGUCCGGUGGGAGACGGUAGCGCGGGAUAUCUUCAACCGGUUUGGAUGACGAUCAUGUAAUAGGAUAGGCAUUUAGUUUACCUAUCUGCUAUUAUGCCAGCCGGUUGUGGCUUUUCUCAUUUCUGCUUUGCAGUCGAUGCUCUAUGUGAGCUAUAGGCUGCCUUUGUUCCUUUUUUUGAAAGACCAUUGUUCAGACCCUGUUUACUUGUUUAAUAAGAGAGGCCAUAUGCAUCGAUCUGAUGCAGAGGCCGGGGAAUCCCCCCUUUUCUAAAAAAAAAUCUUUGGCGUAUUUUUUUUCAGAGUAUUGAUGUUGGAGAUGAGCCUAAGUGGAGAAAGAUUAAACAUAUGGUUGCCAGGUGAUCUAAAAUGGGACUGAACUUCAGUGCCGUAAUUGCACCUGCAGUUGGGCCAAUGACAUGUGGGCCUAACAGACGGCUGGCCCACAUGCCAUUGACCCACCUGCAGGUGCAGUUACGGCACCCAAGCAGCGUCCUCUAAAAUGGUGGAUCAGAAAUGUUCUUCAUCAAUGCCCUCUGAAUUGCUAACAAUUCUGUUUGCACACUCAGUUUGCAAAAUGGUAGGUAAGGAACUACAGAAAGUGGAUUGUUGAGUUUGCAAAAUGGUAGGUAAUGAACUACAGAAAGUGGAUUGUUGAGUUUGUCAAGCAUAAUGUCGCACCUAAUUUUGGCAGAUCACUUGGCUUUGAGAUUUUCGCAUGACUAUAUGAGGUUCCCAUAAACUCCUGUAUUGCCACAAUAGCUUCUUUUAAUGCACUAGAAAAUUGUAAUUUUUUUCUCAGGUAAAUAGUUCAGUUCUCAACAGUUUUUCCAGGCCGAGAUCAAGAUAUAGAGGCCUGACCCGGGGCGAUGACAGCUUGUACAGUGGCAAAGUGUUGAGGAGGCGGCUGGUUAUCGUUGCCGAGCGCUGGGGAGGCUGCCGGCGCCAUGGCCGAGCGCUUGGGGGACCGCCAUGGUGGACGAGGGAGAGCAACCAGUAUGGGGGGAGAGAGAGAUGUGCUUCUUUGGUUAGGUCCAUGGCAAGGUUCCAUGAGAUGGCGCCGGAUUUCUGGGAGAAUAUACACGCUGAUUGUGGCUGAGAAGAAGAUUACUUCUCCUACAAUUUUGUAUGUUGCGUGAGAGGGUAGAACAUAGAGGAGAAAUGUGGGGCAAUUUGGUUGCUAUGCUUUGUGAGCCGCCGCUUUACUUUUGUACAAAGAGACGCUUCAUGUGCGGCUGCUAUGUGGUGUUCUAUGCUCUGCUGUGUGCUCUGCUUGUGGAAAUUUGUACAUGGCAAUACAUAGAUUGGGAUUGAGAUUUGGAGCAAUUUGGUUGGUUUUUCUUUGUA
Triticum dicoccoides is the source of this 1501-nucleotide long non-coding RNA. RefSeq lists it as uncharacterized. The transcript has 4 exons. NCBI's taxonomy places the organism in Eukaryota, Viridiplantae, Streptophyta, Magnoliopsida, Poales, Poaceae. The record is from RefSeq and is a predicted model, not a curated record.